UACGUAGGUGGCAAGCGUUGUCCGGAAUUAUUGGGCGUAAAGCGCGCGCAGGCGGUCCUUUAAGUCUGAUGUGAAAGCCCACGGCUCAACCGUGGAGGGUCAUUGGAAACUGGGGGACUUGAGUGCAGAAGAGGAAAGCGGAAUUCCACGUGUAGCGGUGAAAUGCGUAGAGAUGUGGAGGAACACCAGUGGCGAAGGCGGCUUUCUGGUCUGUAACUGACGCUGAGGCGCGAAGGCGUGGGGAGCAAACAGG
RNAcentral lists this ribosomal RNA (253 nucleotides) under uncultured bacterium. Its description in RNAcentral is "partial 16S ribosomal RNA". It matches the Rfam family "Bacterial small subunit ribosomal RNA", at positions 524 to 776 of the family's 1533-position model. The record is from RNAcentral.